GAUGAUGAGAGUGGCGCACGGGUGAGUAAUACUGGGAACAUACCUAUAGUUCGGAACAACUGAUGGAAACGUCAGCUAAUACCGGAUACGCCCUGAGGGGGAAAGAUUUAUCGCUGAUAGAAUGGCCCGCGGCAGAUUAGGCAGUUGUGGGGUAAAGGCCUACCAAACCUACGAUCUGUAGCUGGUCUGAGAGGACGAUCAGCCACAUUGGGACUGAGACACGGCCCAGACUCCUACGGGAGGCAGCAGUGAGGAAUAUUGGGCAAUGGGGGAAACCCUGACCCAGGCCCAUGCCGCGUGAGUGAAGAAGGUUUUCGGAUUGUAAAGCUCUUUCGGGAGAGAAGAUGAUGACGGUAUCUCCAGAAGAAGCCCCGGCAAACUUCGUGCCAGCAGCAGC
Molecule: ribosomal RNA, 397 nt
Filed under: uncultured bacterium
Lineage: Bacteria
Description: bacterial SSU rRNA
Rfam family: Bacterial small subunit ribosomal RNA
Source: RNAcentral